This 403-nucleotide ribosomal RNA is filed under the name uncultured bacterium. RNAcentral's name for it is "bacterial SSU rRNA". It matches the Rfam family "Bacterial small subunit ribosomal RNA", at positions 355 to 774 of the family's 1533-position model. The record is from RNAcentral.
UGAGGGAUAUUGGUCAAUGGGCGCAAGCCUGAACCAGCGACGCCGCGUGGGUGAAGAAGGUCUUCGGAUCGUAAAGCCCUUUUCCCACUGAAGAGGAAGGACGGUAGGUGGGGAAGAAGUCUCGGCUAACUACGUGCCAGCAGCCGCGGUAAAACGUAGGAGACAAGCGUUAUCCGGAGUUACUGGGCGUAAAGGGCGUGCAGGUGGCGUCUUAAGUCUGUUGUGAAAGCGCCUGGCUUAACCGGGCGAGGCCAAUGGAGACUGAGAGGCUGGAUGACGGCGGAGGGGUGUGGAAUUCCGGGUGUAGUGGUGAAAUGCGUAGAGAUCCGGAGGAACACCAGAGGCGAAGGCGGCACUCUAAGCCGUACCUGACACUGAGACGCGACAGCACGGGGAGCAAACG